This is a long non-coding RNA of Papaver somniferum (opium poppy), 690 nucleotides long. RefSeq lists it as uncharacterized. The record is from RefSeq and is a predicted model, not a curated record. The transcript is spliced from 2 exons. NCBI's taxonomy places the organism in Eukaryota, Viridiplantae, Streptophyta, Magnoliopsida, Ranunculales, Papaveraceae.
CAUCCCAUCUCUUCUCUGCAGAAACCCACGCCUCCGCCACCAACUCUUCCUGCCGCUUCUCCAACCACCACCAAAGCCAUAAAAUCCAUCAACUACUAUAACCCAUCACUACCACCAUCAUUACCUAUUUCCUCAACCAUUUCAGCAACCUAAUUCACUAAUUUUUCACGCCUCUUCUCAGAAACCCUAGGCGUGUGAUAUUAGUAAAUUAGGUUGAGAAAUAGCACGCAAUUGGAGCAGCAGUUGGACGACAAGAAGCAAUAGAAGCAUGGGUGAAGAUGAUUGAGUGUUUUCAGAGAUUAGACCAUGACUUGUUGCUGCUGUGGGCUGUGAGCUAGCUUACUGCCACUGAAGAGGUGAUCAUGCUGCUGUUGGAGUUGAAAGAUUGAACAAGGCCCAACUGGGCCGUGCAACAAAAGAAAAGGGGAUAAAAGCCCAACUAGGCUUCCCUCCAAAAACAAGUAAGCCUGAACCCAAGCCCAACUGGGCCUUCUUUAUUGUCUGUUGGGUUUUUUUUUUCUGGGCUUGUAAUAUAAUUUUAAACCCAACAGUGGGCUUGUGUUUUUGGACUUUUGGGCUUGUAAUUUUAAUUGGACUGUGGGCUUAUAACUUUGAACAUUAACUGGGCCUUGUACUCAAAACAGCAACUUUGUAACUUUGAGAACAGUGGGCUUAAAAUCUUUGAAAAUC